RNAcentral lists this non-coding RNA (269 nucleotides) under Schnuerera ultunensis. Its description in RNAcentral is "Clostridium ultunense T-box sequence". It matches the Rfam family "T-box leader". From Rfam's summary of the family: Uncharged tRNA acts as the effector for transcription antitermination of genes in the T-box leader family. T-boxes are found upstream of many aminoacyl-tRNA synthetase genes and some amino acid biosynthetic genes usually in Gram-positive bacteria. Lineage: Bacteria; Bacillati; Bacillota; Tissierellia; Tissierellales; Tepidimicrobiaceae. The record is from RNAcentral.
AUAAAAGUAUUGACGGAGACAAAAAUACUGAAAAAUUAACUACAGAGAGCCGAAGUUGGUGAGAUUCGGUGUUAAUACAGUAUAUAAUGAUCACUCCAGAGCUGCAGAGUUGAAAGAUUUUCAAGUAAACGAAGCCGGUAAUCUACAUAGUAGAUGUGCCACCGUUAUAUGGCUAGGGUUCAAGGUGUUUACCUUCGACCUGAAGAGGCAAUUCACGUGAGUGAAUUGUAAACUAGAGUGGUACCGCGAGAAUAUCCCUCGUCUCUAGA